Non-coding RNA from Rattus norvegicus (Norway rat), 5875 nucleotides. NCBI's taxonomy places the organism in Eukaryota, Metazoa, Chordata, Mammalia, Rodentia, Muridae. The record is from RefSeq and is a predicted model, not a curated record.
CUGGUGGCGUGGGGAGCACGCGCGUGGCCGUCGUGGGGCUGAGGCUCUGAGGGAGGAGCUGAGAAGACGACGUGUCGGGACCCACCAGAAAUCGGUGCUUCCUCGAGGGGAGUCGGACGUCUUGACCCCUGGAGGCUGCUUACCUGUGAAGCAGGAUACCCCGGCACCUGACCCCGCAGAGGAGGCGCUUCUGUCGGACAGUCCUGCUGGGGAUACAUCCAACGCGACACUGGAGUCGGGCUGUUACCAGGUGAACGGUAGGUGCUAGGAAUGUCCGUGGAGUAAGUGCCUUGAGCAUAGCCAGGUACGUAGUAAGCCCCAGAGUAAGAGGCAGCACUUGCUGUUGCAGGGCCAGGAGGGUAAGGUGGGCCAUAUGCUCCAUUUGCGUAAGAAUUCAGACUCUGAAAAAAGGUAAUCAGAGAGGAAAAGAUAAUGGGCUGAAGGGCUAAAAUGCCCUUAAUGUUCAACCUUGAAAACUUUAGGAAGUAAAGGUGUCAGUAAGCAGUCUCUGAGGUGCUCUUUCUCUUCUCUAGUCUCUAUAUCACACGCCAGGCACUGAACUCAGAUUAUAAACUGAAGUUAUGGGACAUCGAUGGAAGCCUAUAUUGUGAUGACAGAUAACAUUUUCUUACAUUUAACUCACAACUACAUGUCUAAGAGGAGAACGUUUGCUCACAGAAGGCAACUCUAGGAAUCCUGGGGAACAAGGUAGAGGGGGAAAAAAUCAUAUAAUAGAAAGAAAAAAAUCAGAAACAUUCUCUAAUAGUUUAUAUUUAGUUACUCUUAGCUUCAGUUUCUCUAAUAGGAAAAUGAAGGCCAAAACUUUCCUUGCAGGAUUAUUAGGAAAAACUGAGAUAACAAAACAACAACAAAAAAAGAUUUAGCAGAUACACAAUUUGUUCAAAAGAUGGUGACUACAUUACUAUAAGUAUCACGAUGAGUUCGAGAAAUGACCCCAGUCAUAUUGAACUAAGCAAUCACCCUGCUUUCCUGAUGACAACAACAGAUAACAGGGAAAUUCUUCACUAUACUGUUUACUACUGUGGUUAUUAUAGUUUGGUUAUUGUUUUAAACAGUGCUGGGAACUAAACCCAGGGCCUUGUGUGUGUCAGACAGGUGUGCCACCUCCAAGAUACAAUGCCAAUCUGUUUUCCUGUGGUCUUAAAUCACCUACACAGACUAUUACAUUGCUCAUAUCCAGAUCCUGCUUAGUGCUCCAAAUAAGAUUAAAGCUAAGCCUUAACUUCAACUAUUACCUUAUGUUUUGUAUUAUUUGUUUGCCCCCCCACCUCUGUGUGUGUGUGUGUGUGUGUGUGUGUGUGUGUGUGUGAGAGAGAGAGAGAGAGAGAGAGAGAGAGAGAGAGAGAGAGAAUGUGCAUGAUAUGGAGGAUGCAUGUGUCACAGCAUGCUUGUGGAGGUCAGAGGACAACCUAGAUAGUGAGACCUUGUCUUUCAACUUGCCUUUAAAUUUGUUUGACACAGGGCCUCUUAUUUACUGUUUUAAAUCCCAGGCAGGCUAGAGAAUACAGACACAUGGGCUACUGCAUUCGGUCUUUAUGCGGUUCUGGGAAUCCAAACUGAGAUCAUCACGUUUGCAUGGAAGGCAUUUUGUCCACUAAACUAUCUCCCUAGUUUCACUUUAGUUUUUUUAAAAUAGGAGACACACAGAAUCAUGUUUUCUUGUAAAUGUUACUCCCAGCAGGAUGUACCAGGAAGAAUUUCAAGUUUGUAGCUAGUCGUCUACAUAGUGUGACAUUAUUCGAGGGAAGGGAGGAGCCCUAAUUGUGUGUACACACUUGUAAUCCCCAGUACUAAGGAAGAUGAGGCAGGAGGACUACAAGGUAGAAGACCUUGGCCUACAUUAGUAGAACCUGGUUUAGAAACAAAUUAAAACCAGAGAAACAAAAUAUACCUGAAGAAGUGUGUGUGUGGUCAGAAACAAUAAAAGAUUAAAGAGCCAAGUAAUGUAUUCCUCAUAAGCCCUUGAGGUUUUCAGUCUGAAAGAAGAACUCUUUAAUAGAAUAUAAAGGCCAAGAUUUGAUACAGUAUCAUGUGACUUUUUGGUCUGUACUCCAGCUUCCCAAGGAAAUCACUCCACUAUAAAAAAAGUCACAGGUUAGAGAGAUGGCUCAGGGGUUAAGAGCACCAACUGCUCUUCCAGGGGUCCUGAGUUCGACUCCCAGCAACCACAUGGUGGCUCACAACCACCUGUAACAGGAUCUGAUGCCCUCUUUUAGUUGUGUCUGGAGAUAGAUACAAUAUGCUCAUAUAAUUAAAAUAAAUAAGUCUUAAAAAGUCACAGGCACAAAGCUGUCAAGUAUAAUAUUUGUAAUUAGACAAAAUAGUACAGGGACAGAGAGAUGUCUCAACAGUUAAGGGCACUUGGUUGCUCUUCCAGAGGACCCAGGUUACAACCAUUAGUAAUUCUACUUCUGGAAUUCUGAUGCCCUUCUAGUCUCUACAGGCACUGCAUACGUGUGUGUGUGUGUGUGUGUGUGUGUAUACAUAUAUAUAUAUAUAUAUGCGCGCAGGUAAAACACAAACAAACACACGCAUACAUAUAUACAUACAAAUAUAAAAAUAACACUUUAAAAAUAAGUUACACAAAAUAUUAUAGAAUCUAAAUGCUUUAGGACUAUUCUAUUUUUAUUUUUAGAAAAAAAUUUAAUUUACUUAUUUUUAUUACACAUGCAUUGAUGCUUUGCCUGCAUGUGUGUCUGUGUGAAGAUGUUGGGUCCCCUGAACUGGAGUUACAGACAGUUGUAAGCUACCAUGUGGGUGCUGGGAACUGAACCCAGGUUCUCUGGAAGAGCAGCCAGUCCUCUUAACUACUGAGCCAUCUCACCAACCCUGAGAGCUCACGCUGUAAACUACAAGCACAAAUUAAAAAAACAAGCUGGGAGUGGCUCAAGUCUUUAUUAAAGCCUAUCAGCCUACCCCCAACCCUCCACUCCCACCCAUGACAUACUUCCUUAAACAAGACAUACUUUAACAAACAUACUUUCUUAAAUGUCCCAAAAGUACCACCAACUGGGAACCAAUGGUUCAAAUGUCAGAGUCUACUGGGGACAGUCUCAUUUAAACUACCACAAAAUGGAAGGAUUUUUUGUUUUGUUGUUUUUAAAUAAACACACAUUUAUUUACAAGCAACAAAACUACACUAUUUGGUAUUUGUUUCAAAACACUCCCAAGAUAAAUAUAAUAUGGUCAAGUACUGAGACUUGUUGAAGCUGAGAGGAACAUUUGUUUCUACCUUUGUUUGAAAUUUUCCUUAUUAUAAAAGGAAAUGAAGAAGAAGCUGGAUGGUUGAUCACAGACCCUAAUUCAAAAGGCCAAGAGCUACGGGGGUGAGAACAAAGAAGUUCUUGUCAUUGAGUCUGUAAACUGCAUGUGACAGGCAAACACAGAAGUGUGCAAUGGGGCAGUGGAGAUAGCUUAAUGGGUAAAAGUGCUUGUUUUGCAAGCCUAAUGGCAUGACGUGAGGCUUAUCCCUUGAUCCAGGGAAAAGAACUUCUAAAAAGCUCUCUUCUGACUUCCACAAGUGCACCAUGGCACACUUUGGCCACCACAGCACACACUCAUACACAAACAGAAUACCAAAGCUGAAUUUAAUCAUUAAAAGGUGUAUAAUGGCUUCAGGUGUAAACAGACAAUGGAGGAAAGGCUUAAGCCGCAUUUCACAGACACAGUCACAUUAGGACGGCACAAGCAAAGUUAUUUUCAUUCUUUCCUUGUUUUUCAGUUUUAUAUGUCUGUCUAUAUGAAAGGGGGCUUCUUAAGUUCUCUGUGAAGCUUCUGCUAGUGCUGAACUUGUGAUUCUCCUUAGCUCUGCCUCUUUUUUCUUUUCUUUUUCUUUUUUUGGUUUUACUAAACAGGGUUUUUCUGUGUGGCCCUGACUGUCCUGGAAUUCACUCUGUAAACCACACUGACCUCAAACUCAAGAGGUCUGCCUGCCUCUGCCUCCCAAAUGCUGGGAUUAAAGAUGUGCCAUCAUGCCCAGCUUCCAAUUAUCUAAUACACUUACAUUAAUUAAUUUUUAAAAAGCUUUAUUACAUAUUACAGAAUUAGAAAAUUUCACAAAAUAACUAUUUGAACUACAAAUAAUUAAAAGGGAAUAUUGGUUCAUCAAAGGACACUGUGGCUUCUGUUAGAAUUUUCCCCAAAACUAUAAAUUCUAUGAUUUCAGCAGAAUAUUGAUAGAUUCUUUCCUUCCUUCUUUCAUGUAUUUUUUGGUUCUUUGAGACAGUGUUUCUCUGUGUAGCCCUGGCUGUCUGGGAACUUGCUCUGUAGGUCAGGUUGGCCUUGAACACAGAGAGAACCAACUGCCUCUGCCUCGCAAAUGCUGGGUAUAAAGGAAUAAGCCACCACAGUCCUGACAGUUUUCUUAAGGAACGAUUCUGACCUUCAUCUAUUUUUUUCCUUCAGUAUCUCAGGAACCAUUAAAUGAAUCUGUGAGGAUUCUAUAUCUGCAUUUGGAAACUCGGAACCUCUGGGUCUUUGUUAAUAGCUACAAUUAUCUUCUUGUCCUUCAUCCCAGCCAAAUACUGGGAUGAAGGACUCCCAGAUAUCCGGAUACUCCAGAUAUCCUGACAGAAAGUUCUGGUGCCACUACUUUUCCUGGCUGACCAACUGCAUGUCAUGAGAACAAAGCCAGCAUUAAUAGGCCAGCUGCAGCAUGUAGCUGAUCUGCCAAUCAUCUACAAUGUAAAACUUCACUCUUCUAAAUGGCCCCAUUUCCACCACUUUGGUUCCAGUUAGUUCUGGCUGAUCACUUUCCUAGUCAAGCCACUCUGAUAUUCCUGCUAGCAAAGACGUUGGAGCCUUUAUGAGCCAGCACUACCUCCACUUGCCACUGUGGCCCCACAAGAUGGUCCCUGAAAAGAAAACAUCUUCAUUUUGUCACCACACUGUCCAUAACUUACUUCCUGCAAAGACAGUUCUCAUAAACAUAUCAUGUAACUUGAUAUCAAUAAUGUCAGAAAUUGAGGAGAGCUGGAGAGAUGGCUCAGUGGUUAAGAGCGCUGGCUGCUCUUCCAGAGGUCCUGAAUUCAAUUCCCAGCAACCACAUGGUGGCUCACAACCAUCUGAAAUCCGAUGCCCUCUUCUGGUGUGUCUGAAGAUAGCAACCAUGUACUCAUAUAAACAAAUAAAUCUAAAAAAAAUUAAAAAACAACCAAACUAAGAAGAAGAGGAGGAGGAGGAAGAAGAAGAAGAGGAAGAGGAGGAAGAAGAGGAGGAGGAAGAGGAAGAGGAAGAAGAGGAGGAAGAGGAGGAGGAGGAAGAAGAAGAAGAUGACGACAAAGAAGUAGUAGAAUUAGUAGUAGUAGUAGUAGUAGUAGUAGUAGUAGUAGUAGUUGUUUGAAGAACACUCAGUCUGGGCACUAUUCUGGGCAAAAGGUUCUUUCAGAAGGCAGCCACUCCAGCACAGUUGGGUGUGGUAGCAUAUACCAUUAAUCCUACACUUGGGAGGCAGAGCCAGGCAGAUGGCUGGUCUACAUAAAUGAGCCAGGGCUACAGGGAAAAACUUUGUCUCAAUAUACCCACACCCUAGAAGAAGAAAAAAGGCAAGUAGACACAAACUCCUAUCCUUUACCAAGAAGCUCUCUGUAGUUGGCACCUGCUGGGAAGGAGAGAUCAGCUACUCCAAAUGGAGUUGACACCGGCUAUAGCAACCACACAACAGGUGCCCACAUUUAGGAGAAGCUGGCAGCACAAACUCUCUCUCUCUCUCUCUCUCUCUCUCUCUCUCUCUCUCUCUCUCAAAGAACAAGAGAGGAAGGGAGGUGGGGACACCUGGGAGGAGCAGGGUGAUGGAAAAGACUAAUCAAAAUAUACUGAAUGAAAAAUUUAAUAAAAUAAAAAGAGGAAAAUGUCA